GAUGAACGCUGGCGGCGUGCCUAAUACAUGCAAGUAGAACGCUGAAGGAGGAGCUUGCUCUUCUGGAUGAGUUGCGAACGGGUGAGUAACGCGUAGGUAACCUGCCUGGUAGCGGGGGAUAACUAUUGGAAACGAUAGCUAAUACCGCAUGACAACAGUUAUUGCAUGAUAACUGUUUAAAAGGGGCAACUGCUCCACUACCAGAUGGACCUGCGUUGUAUUAGCUAGUUGGUGAGGUAACGGCUCACCAAGGCGACGAUACAUAGCCGACCUGAGAGGGUGAUCGGCCACACUGGGACUGAGACACGGCCCAGACUCCUACGGGAGGCAGCAGUAGGGAAUCUUCGGCAAUGGACGGAAGUCUGACCGGGCAACGCCGCGUGAGUGAAGAAGGUUUUCGGAUCGUAAAGCUCUGUUGCAAGAGAAGAACGAGUGUGAGAGUGGAAAGUUCACACUGUGACGGUAUCUUACCAGAAAGGGACGGCUAACUACGUG
RNAcentral lists this ribosomal RNA (495 nucleotides) under uncultured bacterium. Its description in RNAcentral is "partial 16S ribosomal RNA". It matches the Rfam family "Bacterial small subunit ribosomal RNA", at positions 28 to 507 of the family's 1533-position model. The record is from RNAcentral.